Molecule: ribosomal RNA, 253 nt
Filed under: uncultured bacterium
Lineage: Bacteria
Description: partial 16S ribosomal RNA
Rfam family: Bacterial small subunit ribosomal RNA
Source: RNAcentral
UACGUAAGGGGCUAGCGUUGUCCGGAAUCAUUGGGCGUAAAGAGCGUGUAGGCGGUCCGGUAAGUCCGCUGUGAAAGUCGGGGGCUCAACCCUCGAAUGCCGGUGGAUACUGUCGGGCUAGAGUGCGGAAGAGGCGAGUGGAAUUCCUGGUGUAGCGGUGAAAUGCGCAGAUAUCAGGAGGAACACCAAUUGCGAAGGCAGCUCGCUGGGACGUUACUGACGCUGAGACGCGAAAGCGUGGGGAGCAAACAGG